Long non-coding RNA from Armigeres subalbatus, 2626 nucleotides. RefSeq lists it as uncharacterized. The record is from RefSeq and is a predicted model, not a curated record. Lineage: Eukaryota; Metazoa; Arthropoda; Insecta; Diptera; Culicidae. The transcript has 2 exons.
AAUACAGAUUAGAGUGAACAAUAUUUAGGAAGACUUUACAGGUUCCCCAACGUACCCCCAACUGCCCAACGUACGGCCCACGGGCCGGAUGCGGCCCUUGGCACCAUUUUGUGGCCCGCGGCGUGUAAGCGGAAGCAUUCCCGCUGCUUUCCGGAUGUUUUCCCCUGUAAUUUGUAAACAAAAUCUUCCGGAUGCAUUUUUCGCUGAUUCUCGCAGCCCAGAACAUACGUAUAGGAGAUCCUGCAGAGGGUAAUCCUGUAGCGGACAUUUUUUUUUAUCUGCAGGGGCGCAGAAAAAGUUAGAGCUAUAGGAGGGCGGAUGUCCUGCAGAGGACAUAUUUCUUAUUCUACGGGGGCGCAAAAAAAGUUCAAAUAAUACGUUGUAAGGGGGCGAAAAUCCCGUAGAAGACAUAUUUCAAAAUCUAAGAGGGUGCAAAAAAGUUAGAGAAAUAUGUCUAGGAGGGCGAAGAUCCUGCAAAAAAGGCGCAAAAAGGGCGCAAAAAAGUUAGAAUAAUACCUUCUAGUGCAGGCCUGCCCAACCUUUUCAAGCAACGGGCCAAUUUUCAAAAUGGCCACUUGCAUGCGGGCCAGACAAUAUUCGGUACAUUUUUUAUACAUUUAUACACAAUAACCAAAAUAAAAUAUAUUUUUUCCCGAAUGGCAUUUAGUUUUACAGAAUGGUUAAAAUUGUUUAAAAGAAAAACUAAGCAUGAAUUAAAUCUUGUUUGAACAAUUUUUUAUGUGUGCUUAUUUUAUUUCUCUUUUUAUAUGGGAUUGUUGGCUUCUUUCCAAUACUCGACGCAUAUUGAUUUCGCAAUCGUUGAUCGAUUUUUGCAAGCGAGAUAAUGAAGAUCAACAAUUACUUUUUUACUGCUUUCAUUCUUGAUAAGAGUUGUUCACACAGAUAUGAUUUCUGGAGAGAGAAAAUAUCUUACGAAAGAUAUGUCUUUCUGAAAUUUAGAUUUGAGCACGUUGCUGCAUUGGAGGUCAAUUAUUUCCAUUUGAAACAUUCUAAGUACGUUAUUCAAACCAGUGAACGGUGUUGAGGAACUGUGUUCUCAAAAAUAAGCGAAUAGGUUUGAAAAUUUCUGUUCGUAGGUUUCGACUGUUUUCUACCGGAAUUUGAGAAAUGUAUCCGUUUUCGACAAUCAAUUGUGCCAAAUUGUUUCAAUUUUAUUUCAAUAGUUUGCAUGUUGGAUAAUAAAGGUUCGAUGUGUUGAUCCUUGAUUUGCAGCUUUAUGUUCAUGUUAUUGAGAUGAUUGGUGGCAUCUACUAUAAAUCUCAGUAAUUCAUUCAUCCAGGAUCAUGCAGCUUGGGCAUUGGAUUUGCUUUAUCUUGUAAAAAUGGUGUAAUUUCCUUUCGAAGAGAAUAAAAUCUCUCAAGCAAGGUACCACGGGAUAGCCAACGAACUUCACAAUAACACAACAAAUCACUUCCAUUUCCCUCAACAUAAUUUGGAAUUAGUGGUGGUUAAGUUUCCUCGCAUAGGUAAAGUUGAUUUUUCUAAUAACUAGCGUCGCUGCAUCACGAAUAUUGAUAGUUUUUGCACAUAUAAAUUUUUUGGUAAAAAAUGCAAUGUGCAAAGAUUUAUCACAGAAUAACUUUUGUUUCUUAAUAACAAUCGUAUAACAAAAAAAAACAAAUUGCUUUAAUUUUCAAGUGUCACAACGCCUGUGUUCUUUCCCGUCAUCGCCGGUGCCUCAUAUGUGUUUAGGCCUUAAGUUUUCCAAGAAAAGUUGAAGCUCCUUCAUACGGGUUUUAACAGCUUUCCUCAGGUAUAUACCUGAAGUAGUUGUUACCUUUAUUAAGAUCAAAACUGCUAAUUCCUUUGUAAUCUAAAGAUGAUUCUCUGUCUUGGAAAGCUCUCAUCAGUUUUGUUAAAAUCUCAUUAACAGCAAAACUGGCCCAGAUUUAAUUCUUAUAAUUAGUAAUAACCUACAGAAGGAGCUUUUCGAGUCAGAUAUAAAGGCUUUCGGGCCGCAUAUGAAGUAUUUUUUCUUACACGCCGCGGGCCACAAAAAAUGGAGCCAAGGGCCGCAUCCGGCCCGCGGGCCGUACGUUGGGCAGCCCUGUUCUAGGGGGUGGGAAUCCCAACGAGGAGUUUUUUUUUAAUCUAAGGAGGCGCAAAUCCUGGAGGCGGAGAUCCUGCAGAGGACAUAUUUCUAAAUCCACGGGGGUUCAAAAGUUCGAAUAACACGUUAUAGGGCAGCGGAAACCCCAUAGAGGACAUAUUUCUAAAUCUGGAGGGGCGCAAAACAGUUAGAACAAUACGUAAAGGAGGGCGGAGAUCCUGCAGAAGACAUCUAAAAGUUCGAAUAAUACGUUCUAGGGGCGGAAAUCCCGAUGCGAACAUUUUUUUUAAAUCUACAGGGGCGCAAUAAAAGUUAGAGGAUUGGCGAUUCGGGCGGAGAUCCUGCAGAGGACAUAUUUCUAAAUCUACAGAGGCGCAAACAGUUCGAAUAAUACGUUUUAGGGGAGCGGAAAUCCCGUAGGGGACAUAUUUUUAAAUCUAAGGGGGCGCAAACAAGUUAGAAGAAUACGUAUAGGAGGGCGGAGAUCCUACAGAGGACAUAUUUCAAAAUCUACGGGUGUGCAGAAUAGAGGAAUUCGUAUAGGAGGGCGGAGAU